Molecule: ribosomal RNA, 647 nt
Filed under: Streptomyces sp. AR36
Lineage: Bacteria; Bacillati; Actinomycetota; Actinomycetes; Kitasatosporales; Streptomycetaceae
Description: bacterial SSU rRNA
Rfam family: Bacterial small subunit ribosomal RNA
Source: RNAcentral
CGGCGUGCUUACACAUGCAAGUCGAACGAUGAAGCCUUUCGGGGUGGAUUAGUGGCGAACGGGUGAGUAACACGUGGGCAAUCUGCCCUUCACUCUGGGACAAGCCCUGGAAACGGGGUCUAAUACCGGAUAACACUCUGUCCUGCAUGGGACGGGGUUAAAAGCUCCGGCGGUGAAGGAUGAGCCCGCGGCCUAUCAGCUUGUUGGUGGGGUAAUGGCCUACCAAGGCGACGACGGGUAGCCGGCCUGAGAGGGCGACCGGCCACACUGGGACUGAGACACGGCCCAGACUCCUACGGGAGGCAGCAGUGGGGAAUAUUGCACAAUGGGCGAAAGCCUGAUGCAGCGACGCCGCGUGAGGGAUGACGGCCUUCGGGUUGUAAACCUCUUUCAGCAGGGAAGAAGCGAAAGUGACGGUACCUGCAGAAGAAGCGCCGGCUAACUACGUGCCAGCAGCCGCGGUAAUACGUAGGGCGCAAGCGUUGUCCGGAAUUAUUGGGCGUAAAGAGCUCGUAGGCGGCUUGUCACGUCGGAUGUGAAAGCCCGGGGCUUAACCCCGGGUCUGCAUUCGAUACGGGCUAGCUAGAGUGUGGUAGGGGAGAUCGGAAUUCCUGGUGUAGCGGUGAAAAUGCGCAAAUAUCAGGAGG